GAUGAACGCUGGCGGCGUGCUCAACACAUGCAAGUCGAACGGUGAAGCAGGAGCUUGCUCUUGUGGAUCAGUGGCGAACGGGUGAGUAACACGUGAGCAACCUGCCCCUGACUCUGGGAUAAGCGCUGGAAACGGCGUCUAAUACUGGAUAUGUGAUGUGACCGCAUGGUCUGCAUCUGGAAAGAAUUUCGGUUGGGGAUGGGCUCGCGGCCUAUCAGCUUGUUGGUGAGGUAAUGGCUCACCAAGGCGUCGACGGGUAGCCGGCCUGCGAGGGGACCCGGCAGAGCUGGGACUGAGACACGGGCCAGAGUCCUACGGGAGGCAGAAGUGGGGUAUAGGGCACAAGGGGCGGAAGCCUGAGGCAGCAACGCCUAGUGAGGGAUGACGGCCUUCGGGUUGUAAACCUCUUUUAGCAGGGAAGAAGCGAAAGUGACGGUACCUGCAGAAAAAGCACCGGCUAACUACGUGCCAGCCGCCGCCGUAA
This 484-nucleotide ribosomal RNA is filed under the name uncultured bacterium. RNAcentral's name for it is "partial 16S ribosomal RNA". It matches the Rfam family "Bacterial small subunit ribosomal RNA", at positions 28 to 523 of the family's 1533-position model. The record is from RNAcentral.